Molecule: unclassified non-coding RNA, 218 nt
Filed under: uncultured fungus
Lineage: Eukaryota; Fungi
Description: sequence contains ITS1
Source: RNAcentral
UUGUUUGAUUGUUAUCAGGCUCGGACGACACUAAUAAACCGGGGUUGUGGUGGGCUUAUGGCGGGCACGCGCCGGCGAACCGGCAUGGGCUUGACCUCAAGGCCCGCCAAAGCAACGUCAAGGUAUGGUAUGCACGGGGUUGAGAGUCGGGGGCCGAAGCCCCCUGGGGCGCGAAGCCCCUCUCUGUAAUGAUCCUUCCGCAGGUUCACCUACGGAAA